This is a long non-coding RNA of Miniopterus natalensis, 180 nucleotides long. RefSeq lists it as uncharacterized. NCBI's taxonomy places the organism in Eukaryota, Metazoa, Chordata, Mammalia, Chiroptera, Miniopteridae. The record is from RefSeq and is a predicted model, not a curated record.
UUUGUGUCAUAUUGACUGUUUGAAAUCACUUGAAACUUUCUUUGAAAUCUAAGAAAAGGCAGUUCUUAAAGUUCUCCCACCAACAUUUACUCAACGAUAAACUUUGGCACUCUGACUCUGACUGCCCUGCCAAGCAGAGACUGGGCUUUGUCACAUGACUUGCUUUGCCUGCGGUGAAUC